This 640-nucleotide ribosomal RNA is filed under the name Bacillus subtilis. RNAcentral's name for it is "bacterial SSU rRNA". It matches the Rfam family "Bacterial small subunit ribosomal RNA", at positions 817 to 1455 of the family's 1533-position model. The record is from RNAcentral. Lineage: Bacteria; Bacillati; Bacillota; Bacilli; Caryophanales; Bacillaceae.
UAAGUUUAGGGGGUUUCCGCCCCUUAGUGCUGCAGCUAACGCAUUAAGCACUCCGCCUGGGGAGUACGGUCGCAAGACUGUAACUCAAAGGAAUUGACGGGGGCCCGCACAAGCGGUGGAGCAUGUGGUUUAAUUCGAAGCAACGCGAAGAACCUUACCAGGUCUUGACAUCCUCUGACAAUCCUAGAGAUAGGACGUCCCCUUCGGGGGCAGAGUGACAGGUGGUGCAUGGUUGUCGUCAGCUCGUGUCGUGAGAUGUUGGGUUAAGUCCCGCAACGAGCGCAACCCUUGAUCUUAGUUGCCAGCAUUCAGUUGGGCACUCUAAGGUGACUGCCGGUGACAAACCGGAGGAAGGUGGGGAUGACGUCAAAUCAUCAUGCCCCUUAUGACCUGGGCUACACACGUGCUACAAUGGACAGAACAAAGGGCAGCGAAACCGCGAGGUUAAGCCAAUCCCACAAAUCUGUUCUCAGUUCGGAUCGCAGUCUGCAACUCGACUGCGUGAAGCUGGAAUCGCUAGUAAUCGCGGAUCAGCAUGCCGCGGUGAAUACGUUUCCCGGGCCUUGUACACACCGCCCGUCACACCACGAGAGUUUGUAACACCCGAAGUCGGUGAGGUAACCUUUUAGGAGGCCAGCCG